GGGGAUGAUCCGGUUUCGACGGGAGUGUCGGGGUCAGGAUAAGCGAGCUGCGGCCCCUGUACCGCAUAACAACGGGGAAAAAAACGAACUGACAACAGCGAUUUCGCUUUCGCCGCCUGAUUAGGCGCGACGUUGGCCCGGUCUGCCCGCGUGGCCGGUUCCCGACGUCAUUUACGCGGGGAACGAGCAUGCCUAAGCUUUGCCGCAUGUCCGUAACAUGAAGCUACUGAAGCGUCCAGCCUGUCUGCGGGCGGGCCGCGGAGGGAAUGUCAAAACACAGAAUGCGCUCGGAGAAAGUCCUGGAUCAGAGCUUUCGGACAGGGGUUCGACUCCCCUCAUCUCCACCA
RNAcentral lists this transfer-messenger RNA (347 nucleotides) under Christensenellales. Its description in RNAcentral is "RUG11272 sp902767565 Standard tmRNA". It matches the Rfam family "transfer-messenger RNA". From Rfam's summary of the family: Bacterial tmRNA, also known as 10Sa RNA or SsrA, is named for its dual tRNA and mRNA-like properties. Its role is to liberate the mRNA from a stalled ribosome. Lineage: Bacteria; Bacillati; Bacillota; Clostridia. RNAcentral also lists the same sequence under 1 other name. The record is from RNAcentral.